GGACAAAUUUACUGCUAAAUUUGAACCCAGGACAAAUUUUGGCAGCCAAUCUUUAUCUUAGGAAGGUACUAGGACAAACAUUUCAAAUAAGACAAAAAGUAGCAGCACAAUCAUUUAUCCUAGGAUAAAAAAAUAGCAACACAAUUUUGACGAGUAGGACAAAAUUUUGAUAUAACAGACAUCUUCGUGCACAUAUGGGCAAGCCCCCAGGAUUGGGCUCAAUUAUUUUGAAGUGUACCUUGCAGUGUACUGUUGACUGAAUGAUGUUUUCAAAAUUCAAAUGUGGCAAAGCCUGAGCCUAGGCAUAUAGUGGAAGGGAGCGGGGAUGAGACGUAGACAAUGCCACACCCACGAAGACACCAAUGAUGAUGCUAUCAUUGAUAAAUGAUCCUAUUACUGAAUUGUAUGAUCUUGAAACUGGCCCUCAACUUCUCGUAGAGGCUAAAAAUGAAUAACGAAGACAGUUGCGUGUGUACUUCAAGUGGUCUCCUGAUGGUAGUGGUACUUGUGUAUUGACUUACAAUAAUGACAAUAUACUGAGAUUGUAUAAUCUUCCAAAUGAGCUCUACAGCUCUUCAUUCCCUGAUCACAUUCAACCAGAAACAGUGAAUUUAGACACACAAAAACAUGCAUAUGUACAUGUAUUUCUAACAUAUUGCUUUGCUGUCUUUUGUAGGAUCCUGUUGUUUAUGCUAGAGAAGAUGAAAUUAAAUACGAUUAUGCCUGGUUCCCUAGAAUGUCAUCCUAUGACUAUGCCACUUGCUGGUCAGUGUGUGAUCAUUAUAUGUGUGUACAUUCAAAUAUAAUUAUGUGUAGAUGAUAUAAAAAAUGAAAUAAUGUUAAUUGAUACAGUUGCAUGUACCUUUACCAUAAAAAUUUUAAAAUUGCAUAUUUUAAAUGUUCACUUCUUGCUAGGGCAAAUUUUCCAUUAUGCACUGCAACAAAAACGUUCACAAGAGAUAAAUGUGAUGAAAAUGAGGAAUAUUAUCUGGAAAACUACAUGAGAGUUGCCACAGUUUCCUGGGAAUAUAACAGCUAUUUCUGUGGACCAGAGUAUGACGAUGACAUGGAUCUAUACCAGUGGUGGCCACCAAAGAGCUGUUACAAGCCAAGGUAUGAUAGAGGUGCCGGUACCCUACUUUACAAACCAUGGACCAAUGGAUUGGGAUGCAAUGGGUUUGGU
This is a long non-coding RNA of Amphimedon queenslandica, 1183 nucleotides long. RefSeq lists it as uncharacterized. Lineage: Eukaryota; Metazoa; Porifera; Demospongiae; Haplosclerida; Niphatidae. The record is from RefSeq and is a predicted model, not a curated record. The transcript has 3 exons.